UACGGAGGAUGCGAGCGUUAUCCGGAUUUAUUGGGUUUAAAGGGUGCGUAGGCGGACGCUUAAGUCAGCGGUAAAAUUGCGGGGCUCAACCUCGUCGAGCCGUUGAAACUGGGUGUCUUGAGUGGGCGAGAAGUACGCGGAAUGCGUGGUGUAGCGGUGAAAUGCAUAGAUAUCACGCGGAACUCCGAUUGCGAAGGCAGCGUACCGGCGCCCAACUGACGCUGAAGCACGAAGGCGUGGGUAUCGAACAGG
RNAcentral lists this ribosomal RNA (252 nucleotides) under uncultured bacterium. Its description in RNAcentral is "partial 16S ribosomal RNA". It matches the Rfam family "Bacterial small subunit ribosomal RNA", at positions 524 to 776 of the family's 1533-position model. The record is from RNAcentral.